GUAACAAGGUCUCCGUUGGUGAACCAGCGGAGGGAUCAUUACUGAGUUUACGCUCCAUAACCCUUUGUGAACAUACCUAUAACUGUUGCUUCGGCGGGUAGGGUCUCCGUGACCCUCCCGGCCUCCCGCCCCCGGGCGGGUCGGCGCCCGCCGGAGGAUAACCAAACUCUGAUUUAACGACGUUUCUUCUGAGUGGUACAAGCAAAUAAUCAAAACUUUUAACAACGGAUCUCUUGGUUCUGGCAUCGAUGAAGAACGCAGCGAAAUGCGAUAAGUAAUGUGAAUUGCAGAAUUCAGUGAAUCAUCGAAUCUUUGAACGCACAUUGCGCCCGCCAGCAUUCUGGCGGGCAUGCCUGUUCGAGCGUCAUUUCAACCCUCAAGCUCUGCUUGGUGUUGGGGCCCUACAGCUGAUGUAGGCCCUCAAAGGUAGUGGCGGACCCUCCCGGAGCCUCCUUUGCGUAGUAACUUUACGUCUCGCACUGGGAUCCGGAGGGACUCUUGCCGUAAAAACCCCAAAUUUCCAAAGGUUGACCUCGGAUCAGGUAGGAAUACCCGCUGAACUUAAGCAUAUCAAUA
This 576-nucleotide unclassified non-coding RNA is filed under the name Colletotrichum aenigma. Its description in RNAcentral is "partial contains 18S rRNA, ITS1, 5.8S rRNA, ITS2 and 28S rRNA". The stretch from base 214 to 367 matches the Rfam family "5.8S ribosomal RNA". The record is from RNAcentral. Lineage: Eukaryota; Fungi; Ascomycota; Sordariomycetes; Glomerellales; Glomerellaceae.